GACGAACCGUGCGAACGUUAUUCGGAAUAACUGGGCUUAAAGGGAGCGUAGGCGGACUAUCAAGUCUGGGGUGAAAUCCCGCGGCUCAACCGUGGAACUGCCUCAGAUACUGACGGUCUCGAGGGAGAUAGGGGCAUGCGGAACUGUAGGUGGAGCGGUGAAAUGCGUUGAUAUCUACAGGAACUCCGGUGGCGAAAGCGGCGUGCUGGAUCUCUUCUGACGCUGAGGCUCGAAAGCUAGGGGAGCAAACGGG
RNAcentral lists this ribosomal RNA (253 nucleotides) under uncultured bacterium. RNAcentral's name for it is "partial 16S ribosomal RNA". It matches the Rfam family "Bacterial small subunit ribosomal RNA", at positions 524 to 776 of the family's 1533-position model. The record is from RNAcentral.